UCCGUAGGUGAACCUGCGGAAGGAUCAUUAUUGAAUAAUCUUGAUGUGGGUUGUAGCUGAUUCUUCGGAGUAUGUGCUCGCCUCGUCAUCUUUAUCUUUCCACCUGUGCACUCUUUGUAGAUUUGGAUUGUCAAUUAUUUCUGAAUGCAGUUGUGAGGAAUGCUUUAUUUAUUAUAAGGCUUUCCUUUUGAUGACCCAAGUCUAUGUYUUUUUUAUAUGCUCCAAUGAAUGUUAACAGAAUGUAAAGACUAGGUUUAAUACCUAUAAUAAAUUAUAUACAACUUUCAGCAACGGAUCUCUUGGCUCUCGCAUCGAUGAAGAACGCAGCGAAAUGCGAUAAGUAAUGUGAAUUGCAGAAUUCAGUGAAUCAUCGAAUCUUUGAACGCACCUUGCGCCCCUUGGUAUUCCGAGGGGCAUGCCUGUUUGAGUGUCAUUAAAAUAUCAAUCCCUUAUUCUCAUGUUUGAGUGGAUUGGAUGUGGGGGUUUAAUUUUGCUGGUUUGAAUAAAAUCUGCUCCCCUUAAACAUAUUAGCUGGUGCCCCAUUGUGUAUGGGACUCUUUCUAUUGGUGUGAUAAUUAUCUACGCCGUUGGGAUGAGUCUGAUUCUUUUAAAAUGGAUGUGUGCUGCUUUCUAAUCGUCCGUUAUUGGACAAUUUAUCUGACAUUUGACCUCAAAUCAGGUAGGACUACCCGCUGAACUUAAGCAUAUCAAUAAGCGGAGGAAAAGAAACUAACAAGGAUUCCCUUAGUAACUGCGAGUGAAGCGGGAAAAGCUCAAAUUUAAAAGCUGGCAGUCUUUGAUUGUCCGCAUUG
Molecule: ribosomal RNA, 812 nt
Filed under: Gymnopilus punctifolius
Lineage: Eukaryota; Fungi; Basidiomycota; Agaricomycetes; Agaricales; Galerinaceae
Description: eukaryotic LSU rRNA
Rfam family: 5.8S ribosomal RNA (bases 280-433)
Source: RNAcentral